Molecule: ribosomal RNA, 206 nt
Filed under: uncultured bacterium
Lineage: Bacteria
Description: partial 16S ribosomal RNA
Rfam family: Bacterial small subunit ribosomal RNA
Source: RNAcentral
AACGAACGCUGGCGGCGUGCCUAAGACAUGCAAGUCGUGCGAGAAAGCUCCUUCGGGAGUGAGUACAGCGGCAUACGGGUGAGUAACGCGUGGGUAACCUACCUCGAGGUCUGGGAUAACCCGGGGAAACCUGAGCUAAUACCGGAUGAGCCCACGAGGUCUUCGGACCAUGUGGGAAACGGUGGCCUCUGCUUGCAAGCUACCCG